UACGGAAGGGGCAAGCGUUGUUCGGAAUCAUUGGGCGUAAAGGGCGCGUAGGUGGUCUUGUGUGUCUACCGUGAAAGCACACGGCUCAACCGUGUAACGUCGAUAGAAACUGCAAGACUUGAGGUUGGGAGGGGCUGGUGGAAUUCCCUGUGUAGCGGUGAAAUGCGUAGAGAUGGGGGAGAACACUUGUGGCGAAGGCGGCCAGCUGGACCAAAUCUGACACUGAGGCGCGACAGCGUGGGGAGCAAACAGG
Molecule: ribosomal RNA, 253 nt
Filed under: uncultured bacterium
Lineage: Bacteria
Description: partial 16S ribosomal RNA
Rfam family: Bacterial small subunit ribosomal RNA
Source: RNAcentral